This 438-nucleotide ribosomal RNA is filed under the name uncultured bacterium. RNAcentral's name for it is "bacterial SSU rRNA". It matches the Rfam family "Bacterial small subunit ribosomal RNA", at positions 338 to 793 of the family's 1533-position model. The record is from RNAcentral.
CCUACGGGUGGCAGCAGUAGGGAAUAUUGGACAAUGGGCGAAAGCCUGAUCCAGCAAUGCCGCGUGAGUGAUGAAGGCCUUAGGGUUGUAAAGCUCUUUUACCCGGGAUGAUAAUGACAGUACCGGGAGAAUAAGCUCCGGCUAACUCCGUGCCAGCAGCCGCGGUAAUACGGAGGGAGCUAGCGUUGUUCGGAAUUACUGGGCGUAAAGCGCACGUAGGCGGCUAUUCAAGUCAGAGGUGAAAGCCCGGGGCUCAACCCCGGAACUGCCUUUGAAACUAGAUAGCUUGAAUCCAGGAGAGGUGAGUGGAAUUCCGAGUGUAGAGGUGAAAUUCGUAGAUAUUCGGAAGAACACCAGUGGCGAAGGCGGCUCACUGGACUGGUAUUGACGCUGAGGUGCGAAAGCGUGGGGAGCAAACAGGAUUAGAUACCCUUGUAG